AUGAUAAGUGUUAUGAAUAAGAUAUUAGUUUAUGCAUUAUUUAGCACUUAUCACACCCCCAAACCUACAUUUUGCUAGUCCUCGAGCAAAAUAAAAACUAACUCACUUUCGCAGGAAUCGCGAUUGCAUUUACCGUAUGCAAUAAGGCUUUAAACCCCUAGGUGGCCCUAGUGGACGAGUUUUGUCUCGUGAGGGUUUCCGGCUCAGAUACCCACAAACUGUUGUCUCUACCCAAAGAAUUUAUUUUAUUGUUUUAUAAAAUCUAAUUUCAAAUGCAUAAGUGCCAAUAAUUUCAAAAGCACACAAAGUUUUAAUUACUAAGUCUGCCCAAAGGUGAUAGUCAACUUUAAAGACCACGCAAUAGCACGUAUCUAGUAGAAUAGUGAUUACGGGUAUCGAUCCACAGGGAUUGGAGUACAGUUAUUUUUCUUAAAAAUAAAAAUAUUUAAAAGGAAGAGUUUGUGAAGAAAAUUAAACUAAGAAAUUUAAUAAAAAAUGCAAUUAAAAUGUUAUCAGUUUGAGGAAACCUAGGGCAAGGAAUUCACCACUAACAUCGGAACAAGGAUUAAUUGUAUUUCAAUUAAUUCUUGGAUUAACAUGCAAAUUGGCUACAAGCCUAAUAAGCAUUUAAAUAGAAAUUCACAAAAGUAAUUUGAAAAUAAUUCAUCUUCAGUUGGCAUGAAAUGUCUACCCUAAACUAAUGUGGCAGGACACCGCAUCUUUCCUAAGCAUGGACUAUCUUAUAUUUACUUAGUGAUCAUGAAGAACAGUUGUAUAAACGUCAUACUUAAAAUCACAAAAAUUAAAUAUGAGAUGAAAUAAAAUAUUCAUUAGGAGCAAAAUAAAGUUUAUACAACUUCAGGAAUAGGAAAUUAAAAUAUAAAACCCUUGGCUCUUUGUUAGGGCUGCAUCCGGCCCUAGCGAGGAGAUCAGCCUUCCAUGAAGUUGUGGAUGACGGCCGUGAAGAAGGAUGAAGACGGCAUGGUUGGUGUCUUCAGUCGAAGAAGGAAGCGUGAUGAGGCGAUGGUAGAAGAAGCUCUGUUUCCCCCUCCCCGCCUUCGUUCCAUUUCAUUUUUUUCUUUCCAUGGGAAGUCUUCCCAUAAUAGCCAAACUUUUCUCUCCCUCUAGUCUUCUAUGGGAUUUGGCCUGUGAACAGAUGAUUCAGCUCCCGAGCUUUUUUUUCCGAAGAGGAGAAAUCUCCUCCUUUUAUAGCAUCUGUCGACCCCUGUUAUCUCGCCACGUCGUGGGAAGAUAAGGGCCAAAGAAGAUUUGAUCCGGCAUUGGGAAGAUAGACUGGAAACGGAUCUCGUUGAAGAAGUCGGCUGGGAGCGCAUGGGAUGAAUGGAAGAAAUCGUUGCUUCUUCAACGCAUGGAAGAAGAUCUUGGACACGGUUGGAACGCGGAGCAGAGGGAUUGAUCUUUAUCCGUGGAUGCUGGAAGUUGGACGUGGAAGAAUCAACGUGGAGGAGGACGUGGAGAGGAUCUCAUGCGAACGGGCGGACGUGGGUGGAUUUCAUUUGAUCCGAUUGGUAGGUGCAGGGGAUGAGAGUUGGUUCCCAAACAGGGGAUAAGCUAGCGGAAGAAGAUGAAGAUGCUGGGAUUUGAGCUUUGGGAUCGAUCCGAAAGAGGAGGACGCGGAGGAGAUCAAAAUGUUGAGAGGAUCUCGGCUGGGGGGAGAUCUUUGGAAUGCAGACGAUGCUGGGAACAGAGGAGCUGUUCGAGUUGUUGGGAAAUAUUGGAUUCGGCUGGGAUUGAUUUGGAACAGAGGAAUCCGUGAAGCUCGGUGAUAUCUUGGGAGGAUAAGCUCGGAAGAUGGGAUUUGAGUUUAUCCCGUGAAGAUGGAAGGUUAUCACGAACGGACGUGAAUAUGGCUUACGGGAUGAAGAUGAAUUGGAGGAGAUGCGGCUGGAAGUUGAACAGAGGAUUUGAAAUGGGAUACGGGAGCUGGGAAUUUGAACAAGAUGGGUUUCGAAUGGGAGGAUUCCUUCGGCUGGGAACAUGUGAUGAUUACGAAUGGAUUGAGCGUAAAACAGGGGAGAGAAGUUGGGAUUAACAGCUGGGAACAAACACGGACGGCCGAACAUGGGAUGCUAUGCAUUUGGUUGCCGGGAAAGAUCCGCGGAGCAAAGCAUAGAAGACUCGGCUCCGGGAUGCAGGGGAUUCUAAUCCGUGGGCGGAUGGAGCUGGAUCCUACGCGAACAGUGGAGUGAUGCUGUUGAAGCUUGGAAUGGCUUGCGGAUGAGGUUGAUCCGGAACGGGGGAAGAGAAUGAAUGAUUCUGAACGGGAUGAAGGGAAGAUCACGGUUGAAGGAAAUCUUUGGAUUUAGUUGUUUGGGAUGCUGGGAGGAUGAUGCUGGAUGUGAAGAAGACGCGUACGGGGCUUUGUUUGGUAUAGAAACGUGGGAAGGAUGAUUUGCUUGGCAUGCAUAGCGGGAGAAACGAGUGUGUUAAAUUGGUUAACAAAUGGGAGGAAUUGGAUGAAAUCCUGAGGUUCGGACGGCUAGGAAUGGGUUCUGUUUUGAGGCUGGGGUGAAUCACGUAAAAGAUGGGAUGACAUGGAACAGGGAACUGAUUGGGAUGAGGGGAAGUUGAGGGAGACGUUGAGUUGUUGAGCUCAAUGUUGGGAAAGAAAUAAGAGAAUUGGACUGAAUCGAGAUAUGAGAGGAUUUGCUUCAUGGGGUGCCUGCGAUUUAGGUUCAGGAAUCAUCCCAAAUAAGUUCGACUUGACCUGCACACAUUAAACUUGACCAGUAAAUAAAUAAGUAGAACACGAAUUACCUUUAAUUUAUUAAAAUGCAAUGAUGAAGGUAACACAUUUUUUUUAGUUAAAUUUAUAAAAUAUGUGAAUUAAAAUAAUGAUAAGUGCUAUGAAUAAGAUAUUAAUUUAUGCAUUAUUUAGCGCUUAUCACACCCCCCAACCUGCAUUUUGCUAGUCCUCGAGCAAAAUAAAACUAACUCACUUUCGCAGGAAUCGCGAUUGCAUUUACCGUAUGCAAUAAGGCUUUAAACCCCUAGGUGGCCCUAGUGGACGAGUUUUGUCUCGUGAGGGUUUUCGGCUCAGAUACCCACAAACUGCUGUCGAAAGAAUUUAUUUUAUUAUUUUAUAAAAUCUAAUUUCAAAUGCAUAAGUGCCAA
This 3135-nucleotide long non-coding RNA is filed under the name Phoenix dactylifera (date palm). Its description in RNAcentral is "long non-coding RNA (PDAC_LNC010767)". Lineage: Eukaryota; Viridiplantae; Streptophyta; Magnoliopsida; Arecales; Arecaceae. The record is from RNAcentral.